CGCAGUGGCCAGGCGUUCCUCCAGAACCUCCUCCCCCAGGAGCUUGCUACAAGUGCCAGAAAUCUGGCCACCAGGCCAAGGAAUGCCUGCAGCCCAGGAUUCCUCCUAAGCCAUGUCCCAUCUGUGUGGGACCCCACUGGAAAUCGGACUGUCCAACUCACCUGGCAGCCACUCCCAGAGCCCCUGGAACUCUGGCCCAAGGCUCUCUGACUGACUCCUUCCCAUAUCUUCUCGGCUUAGUGGCUGAAGACUGACACUGCCUGAUCGCCUCAGAAGCCCCCUAGACCAUCACGGAAGCCGAGCUUCACGUAACUCUCACAGUGGGAAGAGCAAAGGACACCAGUUUGCAGCAUGAGGGAAAUGCCACAGAUGUGACAAAAGAAGUAGAGAGGAGAGACAGAACUCCUGCAGUGCUCCAGAAUGCCUGUUUCUCCUGGGGCCUCUUCCUUGACUCUCAAGAGUUUCCACAGUACCCUUCCCACAAAGUUCCCUUUUUUGAUUAAAGUACUUUAAGUUGGAU
RNAcentral lists this long non-coding RNA (520 nucleotides) under Homo sapiens (human). Its description in RNAcentral is "HSALNT0078551". The record is from RNAcentral. Lineage: Eukaryota; Metazoa; Chordata; Mammalia; Primates; Hominidae.